Molecule: ribosomal RNA, 391 nt
Filed under: Streptococcus mitis
Lineage: Bacteria; Bacillati; Bacillota; Bacilli; Lactobacillales; Streptococcaceae
Description: bacterial SSU rRNA
Rfam family: Bacterial small subunit ribosomal RNA
Source: RNAcentral
GACGAACGCUGGCGGCGUGCCUAAUACAUGCAAGUAGAACGCUGAAGGAGGAGCUUGCUCUUCUGGAUGAGUUGCGAACGGGUGAGUAACGCGUAGGUAACCUGCCUGGUAGCGGGGGAUAACUAUUGGAAACGAUAGCUAAUACCGCAUAAGAGUAGAUGUUGCAUGACAUUUACUUAAAAGGUGCAAUUGCAUCACUACCAGAUGGACCUGCGUUGUAUUAGCUAGUUGGUGGGGUAACGGCUCACCAAGGCGACGAUACAUAGCCGACCUGAGAGGGUGAUCGGCCACACUGGGACUGAGACACGGCCCAGACUCCUACGGGAGGCAGCAGUAGGGAAUCUUCGGCAAUGGACGGAAGUCUGACCGAGCAACGCCGCGUGAGUGAAGA